This 253-nucleotide ribosomal RNA is filed under the name uncultured bacterium. Its description in RNAcentral is "partial 16S ribosomal RNA". It matches the Rfam family "Bacterial small subunit ribosomal RNA", at positions 524 to 776 of the family's 1533-position model. The record is from RNAcentral.
UACGUAGGGGGCAAGCGUUGUCCGGAUUUAUUGGGCGUAAAGCGCUCGCAGGUGGUUCGAUGCGUCGGGCGUGAAAGACCCCGGCUCAACUGGGGAGGGUCGUGCGAUACGGUCGAACUGGAGGCCAGUAGGGGGAUGCGGAAUUCCGGGUGUAGUGGUGGAAUGCGUAGAGAUCCGGAGGAACACCAGCGGCGAAGGCGGCAUCCUGGACUGGUCCUGACACUCAUGAGCGAAAGCGUGGGGAGCGAUCCGG